RNAcentral lists this ribosomal RNA (357 nucleotides) under Triticum aestivum (bread wheat). RNAcentral's name for it is "partial small subunit ribosomal RNA". Lineage: Eukaryota; Viridiplantae; Streptophyta; Magnoliopsida; Poales; Poaceae. The record is from RNAcentral.
AUGCUGCCCAUUGAAAUCUCAACCCCCAUGCAUCUCGGGAUUCUCAACCACUAUAUUAGCCGGAAUGUAUUGCGAGCUUUAUCCUCUCGUGCUCUCCUUUGUUCCGAACCUAUAAUAAAUAUCGCAGCACAGAGUCUAGUCAGUAGCAUGCAAGACUAUCUACCAAAGGCACAACACAAAAUAUGUGCUAGACACAUCUAUGUUAAUUGGAGAAAGAAAUACAGAGGGCAUGCUCUACAAAAUAAGUUUUGGGCUAUUGCAAAGGCUGCAAACAGAGAAGACUUCAUGUACAGAAAAGCUAAGUUAGCUCAAGACACACCUGAAGGAGCAAGGGAUAUAAUGAGAACAGAGCCUUAG